UCGAGCAUCAUCUCGACGAGAUAAAGCUCUGAAAUUGACGAAAACAUGAUCGAUCGAAAGCGAAGAACGUGCCACAGAAGGAUCUAUGCUAUGAUACCAUUAUAGAUUUCACUACAUUUCUCAGAUUGAAAGCACAAAUAAUGAAAAUCGAGUUAUCUCCAUUAGAGAGAGAAAGAAGAAGCUUCUAGAUAUUAUUAUUAU
Molecule: long non-coding RNA, 201 nt
Filed under: Nicotiana benthamiana
Lineage: Eukaryota; Viridiplantae; Streptophyta; Magnoliopsida; Solanales; Solanaceae
Description: long non-coding RNA (NBEN_LNC031222)
Source: RNAcentral